Molecule: long non-coding RNA, 1735 nt
Filed under: Homo sapiens (human)
Lineage: Eukaryota; Metazoa; Chordata; Mammalia; Primates; Hominidae
Description: HSALNT0095732
Source: RNAcentral
UUGUGUUACUGCAUUGCAAUCUGGUCUUUUGUCUCUUCUUAGUUGACACUGUUAAAUUUAAUUUGCAUAAAGUUUUUGUUUUGACAGAUGGUGUCAGAAGUGGGAUUCAAAGUAGAACUUCCAACAACUUCCAGGCACAUGGAGUUAUCAAAAGAGGUACAUACCAAGCCCAUUAUGUCCAUUGCUCUCUUACAGCAACUAGAGAUUGUAGUUCUUUACUAGCAAUUAUAAUCUUGAAGAGUUGAGUCUUCCAAAAGGUUCAUGGAAAGUUUGGGAAGGACCAUGACAAGUACUAUUGAAUACAGAUUUCUGAUAACUUUAGGUUCAUCUCAUUUGGACUUGUAUAUUUUCAACAGGUGAAGGAAUCUUUUCAUGCUCCACCUACUAAGGACAAUUGAACCCUUCAUAAUCUAGAACCUGGAUGCUGGAUCUUCUGGAAAUGGCAUCAGAGAAAGAUUGCCCUUGCCACCCAUAUGGCAAUGAGACUUUGGAACUUCAAAACUUGGGUUCAUAAUCUUACAAAACAGAAGGACCUUUUAGACUCUUGGAACUGUACACUCCUUCAAGACCUUAAGGUAAAGCUAAAUAGGGAAGUUUCUCUUCAAAAGCAGAUGGCAUCCUAGACAUACACAGCUUUCCCAAGAUCACAGAUCAAGACUCCUCUGCCAUCAUGAAACUCUUAGCUCUCUUAAUCUUUUACUUGCUUAUGCCUCUAUGAACAAUAGAACUUGAAAACGGGCCUUGUGUCCACCCACAGGGUGUACUUUCUUAUAGAGGAUUUUUCAGCCAGUCUUAUACAUGGGUAAUCUUAAGCCUUGAUGAAUGGAAGAUGAAGUGUCAAUGUAGGUGGGAAAUUUUAAUAGUAACUUUAUUACUCCAUAAUCAGUCAGACACCAUAAUCAAUCAGAAACAGAAAGUUGGCCCACACCUGUUAAACUACAUCAUAGGUUAAAAAGAACAUUUCCAGAUGGCUUCACUCUUCUGGAUGUGUAUCAUUUGUUAGGUCCUUUUUUCCAUUGCUUGGAGUAACUACAAAUAAGGCAAUAAUUAGAAAUUUAUCCCUCCUAAGAGGCUCCAUAGCAGGUUCUACUACAAAGAUUAUGGUUGUACAACAGACUUGUUAAAAUUAUUUUGCUGAAGUUGAGUUAUAAUAGAAUUGCUCUAGAUUACCUACUCGCUGAACAGGGAGGAAUAUGUGCAGUUGCUGACACUUACUCCAUAUGGUUGAAUAUAUCAGAUAUUAUAGAGACUCAGUUGCAGAGGAUUAACCAAUAGGCUCUCUGGUUAAAAUGUGUAGACUCUUCAUUCAGCUCAUUCUUUGAAUCAUUUUAUUUUGAUUGGUUCGAUUUAUAGAGACCCUGGGUAGGGAAUAUACUUCAAACUAUUGUUGUUAUUCUCCUACUAAUCACAGUAAUAGUCUCCCUGGUGUUUUAUAUUCUCUCAAAAGUUUUAAAUGUUUGUAUGCAGCCAUCUGUAGAAUACCAAAUGAUCUCUUUGACUGGAAUAACCCAAACUUAAAUGCAUGAUUAUGUGGACACCAUAACCUAUGAAUGACAUGUUGAGACUGGAAUCCCAAAAUUAUGGUAACUGAGAGUAGUACUGAAGCUCUAGAUUUUUGUCAUACUCUCACAUAGGUAAAAACUUGACCUAAAGAGGGGAUUAUUAAACAAAAUUAUGAGAGGCCGUUGUUUGGGAUUGAGCUCCUUCACUAGACCCCAAAAAAUAAAGCAAACUG